This is a long non-coding RNA of Equus caballus (horse), 457 nucleotides long. RefSeq lists it as uncharacterized. Lineage: Eukaryota; Metazoa; Chordata; Mammalia; Perissodactyla; Equidae. The record is from RefSeq and is a predicted model, not a curated record.
GUAAGUGAGCAUUCACCCUCGGCCUAGGAGGGGCCUGUGAACAAACCCUCGGGCUCUGAGGAACUCCAGGAGACCCUCCACGGAGCCAGUGGGGUCUGGCUUCUUCUGCUGAGGCCGAUGGCAGUGUAAGGCCUCGGAGCGGGACCUGGAAGGCAAAGGGCAGGAGUGGCACUGAGGCUCGAAGAAUUGACCCGCCCCGCUGCUUUCGCAGAUGACCCAUUCAUCGAUGAUCAGUGCAUGAAGAUUCCACCAGUGAAUGCGAUGUGGCUGUGGAAUUUGGAGCAACAGAGUUUGACCUACACAGAAUAUGCUGUCCUCUGUCUUGAGCCAAAGAAUAAGAAAUUCCUUUCCUGCAUGCAAUUCAAUAAUGAUGCAUUUUGUAACAAACUGCCUUAGAGGUUUAGUGUGAUGUACUGGAAUAAACAAAGCUUUGGGUUCAGACCGUCAUAGACUUAAA